ACCUUCUAGAUGGGGACAACACCGCGAAAGUGGUGCUAAUACCGAAUGUUGUAUCUGGGGUGCAUGCUUUGGAUACUAAAGGUGGCCUCUAUUUAUAAGCUACCGCUAGAAGAUGGGUCUGCGUCUGAUUAGCUAGUUGGCGGGGUAACGGCCCACCAAGGCGACGAUCAGUAGCCGGUCUGGGAGGAUGAACGGCCACACUGGGACUGAGACACGGCCCAGACUCCUACGGGAGGCAGCAGUGGGGAAUCUUCCGCAAUGGACGAAAGUCUGACGGAGCAACGCCGCGUGAGUGAAGAAGGCCUUCGGGUUGUAAAGCUCUGUUAUCAAGGACGAACGGUUCCUAUGUGAAUAAUGUGGGAAAGUGACGGUACUUGAGGAGGAAGCCACGGCUAACUACGUGCCAGCAGCCGCGGUAAUACGUAGGUGGCGAGCGUUGUCCGGAAUUAU
This 450-nucleotide ribosomal RNA is filed under the name uncultured bacterium. RNAcentral's name for it is "bacterial SSU rRNA". It matches the Rfam family "Bacterial small subunit ribosomal RNA", at positions 128 to 554 of the family's 1533-position model. The record is from RNAcentral.